RNAcentral lists this long non-coding RNA (1163 nucleotides) under Elaeis guineensis (African oil palm). RNAcentral's name for it is "long non-coding RNA (EGUI_LNC079615)". Lineage: Eukaryota; Viridiplantae; Streptophyta; Magnoliopsida; Arecales; Arecaceae. The record is from RNAcentral.
UCCGGCUUCCGACCUUGUGUGGCGUCUCUCUGAACCCUCUCGACCGUCCGAGCUUCCGGACUUCUCCGACAAUUAGCUUCUCCAUUCAUCUAUCGGACCGCUCCAAAGGCUCUCUAGGCUUCACUAUCGGCCGACCUUCUACAGUGAUCAACUAUUCUCCGAAUCCCUUGCAGACUUCUUCCGGCCGCGGACGACCCUACUCCGAACUUCUUUCGGACUUCGUCAAUAUCCGAGUUUCUCCAACAACGAGAUUUCUACAGUAACCAGACUCCAUCCAAGUUUCUACGGCGGUCGACCGCCUUCCGGAUUCCAACCGAGCUUCUGCGAGAGCCAAACUUCUACUGCAAAUGGUCUACUCCGGAUCUUUACUGUAAGCGAAUUCCAUCCCAGCCUCUACUGUAAACGAAUUCCUUCCGAACUUCUAUUACAGACGGACUUCAGUCGAGCUUCUUCAUAGUCGGAUCCCAGCCGAGCUCCUACAAUGGACGGAUCCCAGACGAGCUUCUAAACGGGACAGGCCCCACCGGCCAGGUCACCACUCCGAGCUCCCAUGACAACCGAUCUUCGAUCGAGCUUCUACAAUAAGCGGUCUCCUUUCAGCCUUCUACAAGAAUCAAACUCCGUCCGAACUUCCAUAGCGGAUGAAUAUCGAACGAGCUUCUACAACGGACGGACUCCAGCAGCUGGAUUUCUACAACGGUCGAUCGCCUCCGGUGUCUGCCGAACCUCCCCAGCCAUCAGCCUUCAAUAGCGUCAGCCGGACUUCCAUAAUGCCAUCCAAACUUCCACAGGAUUUCCAGACUCCUCCAGCGGACGAACCUCCCCAACGCCAUCCGAAGUCUACCGCUGGCUGACCCUCCACCAGAUUCUUCAUGAGACCGGACUUCUCCGACAGAUAAUCUUCAGACGAGCUUCCACAUCAGGCAAAUCUCAGACGGACUUCUCUAGCAAGCGGACUCCUACCAAACUUCACCAACAGAAAGUCUCCAUCCGAGCUUCUAUAGCAGAUGACUCUUGCUUGUAGCAUCAGCGCCCGAGGCAUCCGACAAUAGUAGACUCGUCAGCAACCUCGAAAACAUCCGAGCUUCUCCUAGAUCGAUGGAAUAGAAAGCCAUUCCGCUCCAUCAGACAUUCCAGCCGAGCUCCAGACGACAGAUCCGAAC